AUGGACGUCGCCGACACCCCGGACGCCAUCUCUUGGCACCUGGAACCCUCCGGCUACUUCUCCACCAAAUCCCUCUACGCGGCCAUCGCCCCCUCGACGGUCCCCGAGCCCUUCAGUUUGAUCUGGGACAUCCGCCUACCCCUGAAGAUCAGGAUCUUCCUGUGGCAAUGGAUCCGCGGCCGCCUCCCGUCCGGCGUAGAGGUCCUUAAGCGUAAUGGACCUGGAGAUGGGAUGUGCCCCAUGUGCGGCACGGUAGAGGAUGCCAACCACAUCUUCUUCUCGUGCUCCACGGCACAGUUCCUUUGGUCCUGUUUCCACGAAACGGUUGGGGGCCAGUGGUGCAACACCAACUUCCCUGACCUGCUUGCGGAAAUUCAGGCCUCCCCCCCCCCCUCGCUACAGGCAUAUUAG
This 411-nucleotide ribosomal RNA is filed under the name Triticum aestivum (bread wheat). RNAcentral's name for it is "partial small subunit ribosomal RNA". Lineage: Eukaryota; Viridiplantae; Streptophyta; Magnoliopsida; Poales; Poaceae. The record is from RNAcentral.